GACGAACGCUGGCGGCGUGCUUAACACAUGCAAGUCGAACGGAAAGGCCCCCUUGUGGGGUACUCGCGUGGCGAACGGGUGAGUAACACGUGAGUAACCUACCCUUGACUUUGGGAUAACUUCAGGAAACUGGGGCUAAUACCGGAUAGGAGCUCCUGCUGCAUGGUGGGGGUUGGAAAGUUUCGGCGGUUGGGGAUGGACUCGCGGCUUAUCAGCUUGUUGGUGGGGUAGUGGCUCACCAAGGCUUUGACGGGUAGCCGGCCUGAGAGGGUGACCGGCCACAUUGGGACUGAGAUACGGCCCAGACUCCUACGGGAGGCAGCAAUGGGGAAUAUUGCACAAUGGGCGGAAGCCUGAUGCAGCAACGCCGCGUGCGGGAUGACGGCCUUCGGGUUGUAAACCGCUUUCGCCUGUGACGAAGCGUGAGUGACGGUAAUGGGUAAAGAAGCACCGGCUAACUACGUG
RNAcentral lists this ribosomal RNA (465 nucleotides) under uncultured bacterium. RNAcentral's name for it is "partial 16S ribosomal RNA". It matches the Rfam family "Bacterial small subunit ribosomal RNA", at positions 28 to 507 of the family's 1533-position model. The record is from RNAcentral.